RNAcentral lists this unclassified non-coding RNA (433 nucleotides) under soil metagenome. RNAcentral's name for it is "partial contains 5.8S ribosomal RNA, internal transcribed spacer 2, and large subunit ribosomal RNA". The stretch from base 1 to 120 matches the Rfam family "5.8S ribosomal RNA", at positions 35 to 154 of the family's 154-position model. The record is from RNAcentral.
GAUGAAGAACGUAGCGAAAUGCGAUACGUAAUGUGAAUUGCAGAAUUCAGUGAAUCAUCGAAUCUUUGAACGCAUAUUGCGCUCUCUGGUAUUCCGGAGAGCAGGCUUGUUUGAGUAUCAGUAAACACCUCAACUUCCAUAUCUUUUUUGAAAUGGGAGUUGGACUUGAGUGAUCCCAACGCUUUUCCUCACCGAAAAGUGGCGGGUUACUUGAAAUGCAGGUGCAGCUGGACUUUUCUCUGAGCUAUAAGCAUAUCUAUUUAGUCUGCCUAAAAAACAGAUUAUUACCUUUGCUGCAGCUAACAUAAAGGAGAUUAGUUCUUGUGCUGACUGAUGCAGGAUUCACAAAGACAGGCUUCGGCCGACUUUGUAAACUCGAUCUCAAAUCAAGUAAGACUACCCGCUGAACUUAAGCAUAUCAAUAAGCGGAGGA